GAUGAACGCUAGCGGCAGGCUUAAUACAUGCAAGUUGAGGGGCAGCAUGAUAUACGCGAGUAUAUUGAUGGCGACCGGCGGACGGGUGAGUAAUAGGUAGGAGACCUACCUCAUACAGGGGGAUAGCAUAGAGAAAUCUGUGGUAAUACCCCAUGAGGUUAUAUGAAUAGAGGCAUAUAAUCAAAGCAUAAGCGAUUAUGCGGUAUGAGAGGGGCCUACUGACCAUUAGCUAGUUGGUGAGGUAAGGGCUCACCAAGGCGAAGAUGGUUAGGGGUUUUGAGAGAGAGACCCCCCACAUUGGAACUGAGAGACGGUCCAGACUCCUACGGGAGGCAGCAGUAGGGAAUAUUGGGCAAUGGGCGAAAGCCUGACCCAGCCAUGCCGCGUGAAGGAAGACGGCCUUAUGGGUUGUAAACUUCUUUACUACGCGAAUAGAGGUUAGUACGAGAUACUAAUAGGAAGUAGUGUAGUAAAAAGCACCGGCUAACUCCGUGCC
RNAcentral lists this ribosomal RNA (496 nucleotides) under uncultured bacterium. RNAcentral's name for it is "bacterial SSU rRNA". It matches the Rfam family "Bacterial small subunit ribosomal RNA", at positions 28 to 509 of the family's 1533-position model. The record is from RNAcentral.